CUACGGGGGACUCCAGUGGGGAAUAUUGCACAAUGGGCGCAAGCCUGAUGCAGCCAUGCCGCGUGUAUGAAGAAGGCCUUCGGGUUGUAAAGUACUUUCAGCGGGGAGGAAGGGAGUAAAGUUAAUACCUUUGCUUAUUGACGUUACCCGCAGAAGAAGCACCGGCUAACUCCAUGCCAGCAGCCGCGGUAAUACGGAGGGUGCAAGCGUUAAUCGGAAUUACUGGGCGUAAAGCGCACGCAGGCGGGUUGUUAAGUCAGAUGUGAAAUCCCCGGGCUCAACCUGGGAACUGCAUCUGAUACUGGCAAGCUUGAGUCUCGUAGAGGGGGGUAGAAUUCCAGGUGUAGCGGUGAAAUGCGUAGAGAUCUGGAGGAAUACCGGUGGCGAAGGCGGCCCCCUGGACGAAGACUGACGCUCAGGUGCGAAAGCGUGGGGAGCAAACAGGAUUAGAUACCCCAGUAGUC
Molecule: ribosomal RNA, 464 nt
Filed under: uncultured bacterium
Lineage: Bacteria
Description: partial 16S ribosomal RNA
Rfam family: Bacterial small subunit ribosomal RNA
Source: RNAcentral